UAGGGUUUACUUAGAAACCGUUUCAAUCAGAAAUUGCUCAAUUUCACAAUAAUUACAAAGAAAUCGCAAGUAACACACUGAAUUAAACGUGAAAUUUGGAGACUGAAAUAUAAUAUUUUGCGCCCCAAAAAUCUUUUAACCCCUUGAAAGUGUAGGGGUUGUAGUCCUAUAAUUUUGAAUGAAAACAUUUAGGCUAAGUGAAACAAAUGUGAGCAUUUACACUUGUUUCCAUCAAUGGGAGUCUAUCUCUGUGGUCUCCCCUUUACACAGAGCUCCAUUGGACAAUUCCAUCUGAUGAAGUUGAAAAGGCGAAUCAACCUGUUCCACACCAGAGCCGCUGCGCCUGCUCUCCUCUCCGAACCUGAUCAAGACAAUCUGCCUUUCUCUAGAUGAUCGCUCGUGAUGUCUUUAGCUCGUAUGUUUGUAAAUCAUUCGCGGGAAAUGUCAGUGCAGGAGAUUCCAUCAAAACCCAAAGGUCUGCUCGGAUGGUAGAGCAUCCAUGCGCCUCAGUGGACUGUUGCGAAUUGAGCUGCUUUUGCGCUGGCUGCUGAAAUGCAGUCUCUCAUAUCACCAGUGACUAAGGCUAUCCUUGUAGCUCUGUUUAUUUUUGCAAUUUUGCUCAUCCUGUAUGUAAUACUGUGGUAUAUAUGCAGAGACGUGGACUGUGAUCACGGCAUUUGAUUUUGGAGAUCGAAGCUGCAGAUCAGCGGAGAAGUCAGGGUGACCCCGGUUUGCCUCAACAAAAUGGCAAAGUUGCAAUAGUGACGUGUGGCUCCAAAGGACUUGGAUAUGAGACGGUCAGACAGUUGACGAAUUUGGGAAUUUAUGUCAUAUUAGUCUCACAAUGAAAAGGAGGGUUUGGCUGCUGUGAAGAAGCUUUGUGAGGAGAUCAGUGACGCUCAGGUGGACUUUGAGAUUUUGGAUGUGGUGUCUUUGAGGGUUUGUCCAGAGAUUUAAGGAUCGACGUCUUCCACUGCACACGCUCAUCAACAAUGCAGCUGUUAUGCUGGUUUCUGAAAGCAGAACCGGAGACGGAGUCGAGGCGUGUUUUGCCAUCAUCUACCUGUGCCACUUUCUGUUGACCUGCCUUCUGCUGGACAGCCUGGUGCAUUCUGGGAAGGAUGGGUCAUGCUCUAGAGUCAUCAGUAUCUGCACAGCAUUCAGCAGCAGCCAUGAGGCGUACGCCUGGAGCAAACUGGCACAGCUUCUGUUCACCUCCCACCUGCACUGUGCACCAGAGCCGAGCGGAUCAGCGGUGACGGCUGACCCGGGCCUGGUGGACACGGGACUGUACGGCCGCCUCGCCAGACUCGCACACAGACCCGUCGCCCGGCUCUUCUUCAAGCUUUUUUGCUACAGCAAAUGUGUUUUACAAACACACUGUCUCAGCAGCCAUGCAGAGAAGACAAACUUAUAAGAUUUAAGAGCCCAACUAAUGGGAACACCGAUCACCAUUAUGGCGACUUCAAAUGAAACAAACACUCCAGCUGAAGGUGCCGCUGCUGCUGUUUCUCCAGAGCUGGAAGGAGUUGGUGGAUGUGUCGUGUCUGAAGGUCAUCAGAUUCGGUCCUCAGCAGCUUCUCUCCAUCAAGAUCUUCAGGCUGGACUCUGGAGAAAGACCUGCGAUCUGCUGCGCCUCCGGGACUCGCUGUUUCUCUCAUAUGACACACAAUGUGGUCGCUUCACUUUUGUAAACUGGUUCAACUGAAGGUGGAAGCUGCUCAGAUGCCGUCACAAAUGAACCAUUCAUUACACUCUGAGUCAGUCGAUUCCUUCCAAGUGUUGACAAUCUCAUACCGAAGAACUGUGACUAAUGAAGAGUCACGUCAUGAUUAUUUGUUGUUCUUCUGAAGGGCUCGACGCUCUUGGAAGGAUCGCUGUGAACGUCCUUCCCACACUGUGAGUGUGUUUCUGUCAUUGCUUCCGAUUUAAUCUGCUGCAACUGUGUCCGGAGCGUCCCACACUCUUAGAAGGAAAGGUUCAGUGAGUUUUAUAUAGAACUCUAGGGUUCUUUAAUCAGUUUUAAAGAACACUUUAUGCCAGAAAGGUUCUAUAUAAGGAGAAAUGUCUUAAACGAUUGCAUAAUACUGUAACACUUUACUUAAAGCCUUUAUGUAUAAUGCAUUAUAAAAGUAUUUAUAAUGCAUUAUAUCUUUACAUAAAUAUUUGUAUUUACUAUGGGUGUGACAAGAUUUCAUGAGAUUAAAAUAUGACGAGAUAUGAAAAUCUGUCAUGACGAAGUGUGAAGGUGAAAUUAGGAUAGAAUAUGCCACCGCUACGUUUACAUUACGCCUCCACUGUCAUUUUGCUUUUUAGUUUAAUUCAUUUGAAUAACGGUCGCUUCAAUCCCAUCCAGCUCCUCCAACACGAGCUGCAGCUCUGUACGUAGUGCAGCAGGAAUCAGAGUUCACUGAUCACGUGACGAGAGUGACGAGAUGACUGACAAGACCAUGGCAGAGGAUUCGUUGCACAACAGAGCCUGAAGCGUCGGACAAAUGACUUAUCUUGUGGAAUGCGUGCUCAGCACUGCCGCUCCCUAUUCACAGAGUACAUGCGAUUGCAAAAUCAAAAGUAAAACGCGCAUUCAAAUGCCCGCAUUUUGAAAGUGGCACCCUGAUGCAUUAUACUUUCUAAAGGUAAUAUAAUGCAUAAUAACUGUGGUUACAGUUAGUCAUGAGAUCAUACAAUGCAUAAUAAGGUGCAUUACAAGACAUAAUUAAUGCAUUAAAAAUAGUUUUAUAAUGCAUGAAAGGCUUUAAUUAAAAUGUUACCACUAAAUCCAUAAGAUGAUCCCACACUCUUAAACAUGAAGGUUGCAAAAAGGGGGUUUUGAUAGAUGAAAUAGAAGAACCAUUUUUAUAUCCACAAAGAACGUUUCACUGAACAGUUCUUAAAAAUUCUUAGUUCUUUUGAUAAUCUCAAAAACCUUUUUCCACUUAAAGAACCUUUUGUGCAAUGGAAAGUUUCCAGGGAUGGAACCAUCGAUGCCAAUAAAGAACCUUUAUUUUUCGGAGUGCGUGAUGGGAACCCUUAUAUGAAACGCCUGACGGAACCUUUUAAGGUUCUAAAUAGAACCUUUUCUUCUAAGAGUGCUUCUGAUGUUUGUCAUUUGUUUAAGUUCUCAUCUGGAUCAGUCACUGUAGUUUUUUUCUGUUCACAUAAACUCAAGAUGUUUCCAGUGACGAGCAGAAAGAGUCUGUUUUUGUACUGCCACUUAAUUAACCAAUACGACCUAAACCUCUAUUCAUCAUCACAAUCGACUCGUUUACUUACAUACAUGGUCUUAUUGUGAAUGAUUCAUCAUUCAGGUUCUCUCAAGUAAAUGUUUGUCUUAGUAAUCUUUCAUCAAAAAGUAAUAACUCGCCUCUAAACCGUCUUUCGUUGUGGUUUAAUUAAAACAGCAUCUCAUUUAGACUUUAAUCACUGUACUUCACAACCUUGUGUGCUUUUAUAAAACGCCAAUGUGAUCAAAUGCACCAAUGUUCAGUUGAUAGUUAUUAAUAUUAAUAAUUGGAGUAAUCAGUUCUUCCACCAAGUACUGUAGUUUAUUACUGCGACUACAGAAACUUGCAUUAAAACAUCUGCAUUUGACUGACAACCCAUUCAACAGGCUCAUCCAAUCAGGAUUCAGGAUUCGUUUUAAUAACAGCUUAAAGAUGAAAACAUUCUUUUCACCACGUUUUCAUGUUCAGAACAGCUUAUUCUUUUAUGAAAGUCCCUUCAUAUUUAUAGAAAGAAAGGUAUGAUUUUCUGUGAAUCAUAUCAAAGAAUAUGAAGCUGUGAUUAGUGAAGCUGCAUUAUUGACGAUCUCGUCUUCAAUCCAAGAGACGAAUCCUUCGAAUAAUCCAUGAUGUCUGUACAAAUGCUUCAUUUCAUUGAGAAAGACGAGAUGAGAAUGACUGUGAAACGCAGAAGCUGUUAAGCACAUAUCCAAAGGAUUUUUAUUGUAUUACACACAUGAUCUUCAGUGGCGUCAAAAAGAAAUGUACAGCUUUUUAUAAUGGUGCAGGAUGCAAAGUUAUAUUUCUCACUGAAAAUUAUGAGGAUUUUGUGUCCUUCCAAGCCCAAGCUCAUUCUGUCUCAGUGUCGAUGUUUGUAUGAAAAUCUAAGAAACUGAAAGAAACCAGGUGAAUCUCGGAAGCUAAAUAUUCUUUCAUAAAUUUGCCUAAAAUAAUAAUAAUGAAUCAGCGUGCUGUAGACUCAUUGUGUUGUAUGAAUGUUUUUUUAAGAAUCCAUGCUUUAAAUAUUAACUCUUUGAUUCAGGCCUUGUGUGUGAUAUUAAUGUAGGUGUUAUUGAAUAUUCUGUACCGAUGAUGUCAGUGUCACGUGUGUCGUGUUCACGUUUCAUUUGUUCAUGAAGUGCUGAAGUCAUGAGGUUUAUGUUCACGUUUCAGAAACUGUUAAGAUUAAAACAACUUGCACUAAACAAUAAGAGGUUUAAAAAUCUAAAUGCUUCUGAAAUGCACUUUAGCAAAUAUGAUUUUGAAUGCAGGUGACAAUGUGAAAUUGCACAGGUUAAUCUCACAAUCCAGAUCAUAUUUAAUCCAAAAAAGAAAAAAAAAGAAAGAAAAGUGAAUCAAUUGAAGCCUAUUUUUGGAACUAUGAUUAUUAUUAUAUAUUUUAUUACUUUUUUUGUUUUUACCAUAUAUAUAUAUAUAUAUAUAUAUAUAUAUAUAUAUAUAUAUAUAUAUAUAUAUAUAACGUGUGUGUGUGUAUAUAUAUAUAUAUAUAUAUAUACUUAAGCACAUUUUCUUGGAUUGUAAAGCAUUUAAACCUCAUAAUGGUAUUUGUUUUGCUGUCUUUAAUAAUGAAAAAUACUUUUUGCAUUACAGUAAAUGGUACAGGGAAAUGUGCUUCAUUAAAAUAUCUUAAAGCAGAAUUCAUUUUUUUAUAUUCCCUUUUCUUUGGAUUUUGCCAUGUUUUUUUGUGAGAUUCACCUGUACACUUUCUUCAUGUACUUGACAUUUGCUGUUAUUAAAAUGAGUUCAUGCAGAAUGGAAGAAAGACAUGAAUUGAAAUCAUAAAAUCCAUGUGAUUUGUAGGUUUUAUGUUCACCAUUUCCUGCAAUAAAACAGCAUGGGGUAUGAAAUCUAACUGUUCAGUGUUUAAACAUCAAAUGCAUAAUUUUAUGGAUCCAUAUGUGACUUUCUGGAAUAUUUUACCAAAGCUAACAAAUAUGAGACUCACAACAUUUUACUCUAAAUAAACCUUUAUAAGAAUUAUGCAUCGUCUCUGAAUUAUGGCAUAAACAAAUUUAUGUUGUCACUGCGACUAUGAACAUGUUCAAUGUUUUUCUUACAUAAGUCAUUUAAUGUGCUUUGUUUUGUAUACUUCAGUCAUUAUUACCCAUGAGCCUCUUUCUCUGAGCCAAUUCACAUGCAAUAACUGGUAAAUAUGCCAACACUUGUUGUUGUUUUUUCUCUGUGAUGAAAAAGUGAAGCCUCAAUCAUCCUGUCUGAAUAUUCCAUAUAAACAUUUGCAAUAAUAUUAAUAAAGACACGUACUGUUUCUUUAA
Molecule: long non-coding RNA, 5515 nt
Organism: Ctenopharyngodon idella (grass carp)
Lineage: Eukaryota; Metazoa; Chordata; Actinopteri; Cypriniformes; Xenocyprididae
Exons: 8
Source: RefSeq, a predicted model, not a curated record